GACGAACGCUGGCGGCGUGCUUAACACAUGCAAGUCGAACGGAAAGGCCCUGCUUUUGUGGGGUUCUCGAGUGGCGAACGGGUGAGUAACACGUGAGUCACCUGCCCUUUACUUUGUGAUAACUUCAGGAAACUGGGGCUAAUACCGGAUAUGAGCUCCUGCUGCAUGGUGGUCGUUGGACAGUUUCGGCGGUUGUGGAUGGACUCGCGGCUUAUCAGCUUGUUGGUGGGGUAGUUGCUUACCAAGGCUUUGACGGAUAGCCGGCCUGAGAGGGUGACCGGGGACAAUGGGACUGAGAGACGGAGCAGACGGGAAUGGGAGGCAGUAGGGGAGAAUAUUGCACAAUGGGGGGGAGUGUGAGAAAGCAAUGUCGCGAGCGGGAUGAAGGCCUUCGGGUGGUAAACCGCUUUCGCCUGUGACGAAGCGUGAGUGACGGUAAUGGGUAAAGAAGCACCGGCUAACUACGUG
Molecule: ribosomal RNA, 468 nt
Filed under: uncultured bacterium
Lineage: Bacteria
Description: partial 16S ribosomal RNA
Rfam family: Bacterial small subunit ribosomal RNA
Source: RNAcentral